This 240-nucleotide ribosomal RNA is filed under the name uncultured bacterium. RNAcentral's name for it is "partial 16S ribosomal RNA". It matches the Rfam family "Bacterial small subunit ribosomal RNA", at positions 15 to 244 of the family's 1533-position model. The record is from RNAcentral.
GAUCAUGGCUCAGGAUGAACGCUAGCGACAGGCCUAACACAUGCAAGUCGAGGGGCAGCGGGGAGGUAGCAAUACCUUUGCCGGCGACCGGCGCACGGGUGAGUAACACGUAUGCAAUCCACCUGUAACAGGGGGAUAACCCGGAGAAAUCCGGACUAAUACCCCAUAAUAUGGGCUCUCCGCAUGGAGGGUCCAUUAAAGAGAGCAAUCUUGGUUACAGACGAGCAUGCGCUCCAUUAG